AUGUGAAGUUCCCAGAAGAAACAGGAAGAAACUCCUCUGUUCUUCUACCCAAAGGGGGAAAAACUCAAAUUCAUCAUCAAAUCCUGAUAAAGGUUCCUCCUUUGAUUCAAAUUCAUCUUCUCCGAUCUUUAUCACUGGUUUUCUUAAUGUCAAUUUGGAUUUACAGCCUUCUCUACCUCUCUCAAAACAUGCCAAAGGCGGCUCCUUUAGAUUUCUUCAUCAAUUACUCAAAAAAGUACAAACUUUGAUUGGAUUCAUAGUCUAGAACACUUCUCAUCUCUUAAUUUCAAACCUGCAUAUCUUUUUGUAUUGAUUUUAAUUCAUUAAUCAAUCAGUCUGGAUCGCUAGAUUAAACCUAUUCAUGGGUGAAGAAAGUAGCAGCAUCAAUCAAUCUGUAUAGAUUGCUAAUUCCAUAUGAAAACUUGUUAUACCAGAAUUGAAUUGGAAUUGUAAUUGUGAUUGUGAUUGUGAUUGUGAUGGAAGUUUUGUUAGUUUUCCUGGGUCAUUUUGAAUGAUAUUGAUUUGAAUGGUCUUGCAGUUUCUCACGGCUAUGUUUGCUAGGAAGGAUCACCAUGUGCUGGUUUCAGCUUUGUGUAUCCCAUAGAAUGAGCUUCCUGAUAUGUUCUUGAGCCCUCUUGCGAAGGAGGGUGUUGUUAUUCUAGCACCAGAAAAGUGGAAACACUCUGGUAACAGUCGGAAUGAUGGUGUUAGAUGCUAAUGUUACAAUCUUAACAUAGGCAUAAGCCUCAAUAUUCAAAAAUAGGGAAAUGCAAGCUUGAGAUGGAUUGCGUUCACACUUCAGCGAAGCAGAUCAAGGUAACAUAUUUUGCUGAAAUAGGAUUGACUGAAGCUUUCCAGAAGCUAAGAAAGUACUCUGCAACAUUAAAUGAUAUGGUGAGUCUGUCCAUGAGUGACACUAUUUGGUCUGGUUUGGAAGAAACUUAUUUCACACCCUGGAUCAAAUUAUGAUGGAGCUCAGUGAAGGAGAACCCGUCUCGACAUUUGAGUUUAUUGCAAGCGUAGUAUUAUGUUUCAAGUGGCUAGUAUCUGAAAGGAAAAGUCGUAGAGCAUAUCUGAUUAUUCACUUGUUAUAAUGAAGAGGUGUGCAUCAUUUGCUAGUUUCUCUUUGUCCUAUUUAGUUUUGAAGCAAGGAAUAAAUACUUCUUAUAGACAGCACUUUGUUCCCCACUAGUUCAAUCUCAUUCCUCUUCAACAUCUUUUAAUAAUGACUCAAGUCUUAGUAGUGAUAGGCGCUGAUUUGUGUGUAACUUUCCUCGGAAAAGUUUCGAAUUCACCGGAUCCACGUCCUAAACUCUGCUGUACAAAUGAUGGAUGCUCACGCCCACCAAAAAAGGUUAUACUUGGAAGUGGAGUACGAGGUUGGCACAGGUCUGGGUCCAACUCUGGGAUUCUAUACUUUGGUUGGUCACGAAUUUCAAAUACUAGGCUUGGGAUAAUGGGGUACGUGGAGGAAAGAUCGCAGUUUCCCCAGUUCAGGGAAAAAUGUAGAACCUGGGUGUAUAGUUGCUUCUUCUGGACUUUUUCCUCGCCCAUGAUCAAUUACUAUGGAGUUGUCAAAUGGGGUCAAGUCUUCUGAGGUGCUAAGGAGGUUUGUGUGGAAUUUUCAAAUGGGGUCAAGUCUUCUAGGGCGUUAAAGAGGUUUGUCCUUCUUGGAAAGGUUGUAGCCAAGGCAUUUCAAGAUGGAAGAAUUCUGGACCUUCCUUUAUCUGAAGCUUUUAUACGUUGCUCUGGAUCAGGAUCUCGACAUACAUGAUAUCGAGUCGCUUGAUCCUGGUCUUGGAAGGGUUCUGGUAGAGUUCCAGGCUCUUGUUGAUCGAAAGAGAAUUUUCAGUCAUAUAUCUGCCUUCUAUAUUAGGAAUAAAGAUAUUGAUGAUCUUGUAUCCGGAUUACCUGCUUACAUCCAGCCAAGAUCACAGAAUGGUAAGCACAGCUAAAUACGAUUCGCUGAUCGUGGAUGCCACUUUGAGUUCUGGAAUUUUGAGG
Long non-coding RNA from Papaver somniferum (opium poppy), 2004 nucleotides. RefSeq lists it as uncharacterized. Lineage: Eukaryota; Viridiplantae; Streptophyta; Magnoliopsida; Ranunculales; Papaveraceae. The record is from RefSeq and is a predicted model, not a curated record. The transcript has 3 exons.